GACGAACGCUGGCGGCGUGCUUAACACAUGCAAGUCGAACGGAAAGUCCCCUUUGGGGGUCCUCGAGUUGCGAACGGGUGAGUAACACGUGAUUAACCUGCCCUUGACUUCCGGAUAACUUCAGGAAACUGGGGCUAAUACCUGAUAGGAAUCCUUUCUGCAUUUUGGGUGUUGGAAAGCUUCGGCGGUUUUGGAUGGACUCGCAGCUUAUCAGCUUGUUGGUGGGGUAGUGGCUUACCAAGGCUUUGACGGGUAGCCGGCCUGGGCGGGCGACCGGCCACAUUGGGACGGAGAUGAGGCCCGGACUCCUACGGGAGGCAGCAGUGGGGAAUAGUGCACAAUGGGCGGAAGCCUGAUGCAGCAACGCCGCGUGCGGGAUGACGGCCUUCGGGUUGUAAACCGCUUUCAGCAGGGGCGAAGCUUUUGUGACGGUACCUGCAGAAGAAGCACCGGCUAACUACGUG
Molecule: ribosomal RNA, 464 nt
Filed under: uncultured bacterium
Lineage: Bacteria
Description: partial 16S ribosomal RNA
Rfam family: Bacterial small subunit ribosomal RNA
Source: RNAcentral